This is a long non-coding RNA of Hemiscyllium ocellatum (epaulette shark), 372 nucleotides long. RefSeq lists it as uncharacterized. The record is from RefSeq and is a predicted model, not a curated record. The transcript is spliced from 3 exons. Lineage: Eukaryota; Metazoa; Chordata; Chondrichthyes; Orectolobiformes; Hemiscylliidae.
CUCGAAACCCGGCAGCUUUCAGCAGUUAAGAGUCUGCCUCGCGAUUCACCCCAGCCAGCAGUUUCAUUUCACCAAGAUGAGACCAUGUUUGCACUUUCAGAAAGGGAAAUAACAACGUUCACAAUUGCAGCAGCGUGAUUUGAAAGUUCCCCAUGUCUCUCACUCUGUUUCUGAAGAAGGUUUCUAACCUGAGUGGGAAGUAUGACCGCCAGGUUCAUAUCACAUUCCGAGGUUAUACACACUUGACUAGGAAAGUGAAAUGUGAAUAUGAAGCUGUCUUCAAUGAGGAAUUCCGUUGGCCUCAUUAUGGACGAGACAUUAUUGAAGAGAUGCUGGAGAUUCGAGUUUAUAACCACAGUAAACUCUUCAGCA